CGGCUUGUCCGUCGGGUGUGAAAGCCCGGGGCUUAACCCCGGGUCUGCAUCCGAUACGGGCAGGCUAGAGUGUGGUAGGGGAGAUCGGAAUUCCUGGUGUAGCGGUGAAAUGCGCAGAUAUCAGGAGGAACACCGGUGGCGAAGGCGGAUCUCUGGGCCAUUACUGACGCUGAGGAGCGAAAGCGUGGGGAGCGAACAGGAUUAGAUACCCUGGUAGUCCACGCCGUAAACGUUGGGAACUAGGUGUUGGCGACAUUCCACGUCGUCGGUGC
Molecule: ribosomal RNA, 272 nt
Filed under: Streptomyces zaomyceticus
Lineage: Bacteria; Bacillati; Actinomycetota; Actinomycetes; Kitasatosporales; Streptomycetaceae
Description: partial 16S ribosomal RNA
Rfam family: Bacterial small subunit ribosomal RNA
Source: RNAcentral